Molecule: unclassified non-coding RNA, 183 nt
Filed under: soil metagenome
Description: partial internal transcribed spacer 1
Source: RNAcentral
CCGAGUUUACAACUCCCAAACCCAAUGUGAACCAUACCAAACUGUUGCCUCGGCGGGGUCACGCCCCGGGUGCGUCGCAGCCCCGGAACCAGGCGCCCGCCGGAGGGACCAACCAAACUCUUUCUGUAGUCCCCCCGCGGACGUUAUUUCUUACAGCUCUGAGCAAAAAUUCAAAAUGAAUCA